AUGUUCAUCGAGAGCUUCCGCGUGGAGAGCCCGAACGUGCGGUACGGCGCGGGGGAGAUCGAGUCGGAGUACCGCUACGACACGACGGAGCUGGUGCACGAGAGCCACGACGGCGCCUCCAAGUGGGUCGUCCGCCCCAAGUCCGUCAACUACCACUUCAAGACCAACACCACCGUCCCCAAGCUCGGGGUGAUGCUUGUGGGGUGGGGCGGCAACAAUGGCUCCACACUCAUGGCUGGGGUCAUCGCCAACAGGGAUGUCUCAUUUGAGGCUGAUGGCGAGUUUAAUCAAUUUAGGGGGAUCUCAUGGGCGACCAAGGACAAGGUGCAGCAGGCCAACUACUUUGGGUCCCUCACCCAGGCCUCCACCAUCAGGGUCGGGAGCUACAACGGAGAGGAGAUCUAUGCGCCCUUCAAGAGCCUCCUGCCCAUGGUAAACCCAGAUGACCUUGUGUUUGGGGGCUGGGACAUUAGCAGCAUGAACCUGGCUGAUGCUAUGACCAGGGCCAAGGUGCUGGACAUUGACCUGCAGAAGCAGCUCAGGCCCUACAUGGAGUCCAUCGUGCCACUCCCCGGCAUCUAUGACCCGGACUUCAUCGCUGCCAACCAGGGCUCCCGGGCUAACAAUGUCAUCAAGGGCACAAAGAAAGAGCAGAUGGAGCAGAUUAUCAAAGACAUAAGGGAGUUCAAGGAGAAGAACAAGGUGGACAAGGUAGUGGUGCUUUGGACGGCAAACACUGAAAGGUACAGCAACGUCUCUGUUGGGCUUAAUGACACGAUGGAGAACCUCUUGGCGUCUGUGGACAAGAACGAGGCAGAGAUAUCUCCGUCAACACUGUAUGCCAUCGCCUGCGUCAUGGAGGGUGUGCCAUUCAUCAACGGGAGCCCUCAGAACACCUUUGUGCCUGGGCUGAUCGAUCUUGCUAUUAAGAACAACUGCCUGAUUGGUGGCGAUGAUUUCAAGAGUGGCCAGACCAAGAUGAAAUCUGUCUUGGUGGAUUUCCUUGUUGGUGCUGGAAUCAAGCCCACCUCAAUUGUCAGCUACAACCAUCUGGGGAACAACGAUGGGAUGAACCUAUCUGCGCCGCAGACAUUCCGUUCCAAGGAGAUCUCCAAGAGUAACGUGGUGGAUGACAUGGUCUCGAGCAAUGCUAUCCUCUACGAGCCCGGGGAACAUCCUGACCACGUCGUCGUGAUCAAGUAUGUGCCAUACGUUGGAGACAGCAAGAGGGCCAUGGACGAGUACACCUCGGAGAUCUUCAUGGGCGGCAAGAGCACCAUCGUGCUCCACAACACCUGCGAGGAUUCGCUCCUCGCCGCACCGAUCAUUCUUGAUCUGGUGCUCCUGGCCGAGCUCAGCACCAGGAUUCAGCUGAAGGCCGAGGGAGAGGACAAGUUCCACUCCUUCCAUCCGGUUGCCACCAUCCUGAGCUACCUCACCAAGGCACCCCUUGUUCCUCCUGGCACGCCGGUGGUGAACGCCCUGGCGAAGCAGAGGGCCAUGCUGGAGAACAUCAUGAGGGCGUGCGUCGGCCUGGCGCCCGAGAACAACAUGAUCCUGGAGUACAAGUGA
This 1572-nucleotide ribosomal RNA is filed under the name Triticum aestivum (bread wheat). RNAcentral describes it as "partial small subunit ribosomal RNA". Lineage: Eukaryota; Viridiplantae; Streptophyta; Magnoliopsida; Poales; Poaceae. The record is from RNAcentral.